AUUAGCUAGUAGGCGGGGUAAUGGCCCACCUAGGCGACGAUCCCUAGCUGGUCUGAGAGGAUGACCAGCCACACUGGAACUGAGACACGGUCCAGACUCCUACGGGAGGCAGCAGUGGGGAAUAUUGCACAAUGGGCGCAAGCCUGAUGCAGCCAUGCCGCGUGUAUGAAGAAGGCCUUCGGGUUGUAAAGUACUUUCAGCGGGGAGGAAGGCGAUGAGGUUAAUAACCUUAUCGAUUGACGUUACCCGCAGAAGAAGCACCGGCUAACUCCGUGCCA
This 278-nucleotide ribosomal RNA is filed under the name Pantoea sp. RNAcentral's name for it is "partial 16S ribosomal RNA". It matches the Rfam family "Bacterial small subunit ribosomal RNA", at positions 240 to 510 of the family's 1533-position model. The record is from RNAcentral. Lineage: Bacteria; Pseudomonadati; Pseudomonadota; Gammaproteobacteria; Enterobacterales; Erwiniaceae.